Long non-coding RNA from Nematolebias whitei (Rio pearlfish), 711 nucleotides. RefSeq lists it as uncharacterized. NCBI's taxonomy places the organism in Eukaryota, Metazoa, Chordata, Actinopteri, Cyprinodontiformes, Rivulidae. The transcript is spliced from 3 exons. The record is from RefSeq and is a predicted model, not a curated record.
GAUCUAGCAUCAGAUUAAGUCUUAGUAUACAAUUGAAAACAGGAAAAAUAAAGUUUCGCUUGACAUCAGAACAUUUUGAUCCAAUACUUAUUUCGUUAAUAGCUCAUGCUCAAAUACAAAAUACACGACAACAAAUUCCUUUGGCCAGUUUUAAGACAGAGGCCAUCUGCAGACAACACUGAAGGAGUUUUAGCUUUAAAGACUGAAUAUGAGGAGAAACCGGGACGUCGCAAAGGAACACUGCAAAUUGAAAAUGGUGUGAUUAAAGCUAGCAGCUCCUUUGCUGAUGACUACAGUAUUUCCCCUCCUAUGGCAUCCCCCUGCUGGCUCGUUUCACCUGGUCAAGCUCUGCAGAGACCCCUGCAAGAUUUUCACACUGCACAAAUUUAACAAAUGACCUUGGUUGAAAUGUUUUAAGAAUAAAAAUGAUUUCAAAGAAAAAACAAAACUAAAUUUACAUGGUCUUUCCAAGAUAAUGAAAGAAUACAGUUACAUGUCUAACAUUAUAAAAAUCCCCGUUGUGGUGAUAUUAGUGAAACAUGAAGAUUGUGUACAAUUGCACUAUUGUAUACUUGAAAUGUAAAAAUAAAACACACGUUUUGUUUGUGACAAAGAUUUGAUCUAACAUCAGAUUAAGUCUUAGUAUACAAUUGAAAACAGGAAUAAUAAAGUUUCGCUUGACAUCAGAUCAUUUUGAUCCAAUCUUAUUUC